GAGAUGACUUCUCUUUAUGUAAUCUCCAUGCUUUCUAGAAGUUAUUAUCAAAAUCCAAUGUUGAUCUCCCAAGCCCACUUUAGAAGAAAACAGUGAAACGUGAUCAGAGCAGUUAAAAGCAGAGGCUCCCGCGUGAGACAGGUCUGUCCCAGCAGCUGUGUGUCCCCAGACAACUCACUUCACCUCUCUGAGCCAGAGGAGACAGGCAACGCCUGAGUAUUGGGUGUCCUUACCACCACCAGGAAUGAAAGAUGCCCAAUAACCCGGUGUGUCCAAGAAAACUGCAACUUGGGAUGGGCCACCUACAAGGUGAUGAGCUGUAUCCUGGUGACCAGGCUGUUUUUCUGGAAGCAUGGGCACCCUUGGCCUUGUCUCUGUGCCUGCUCCUUAGCUGGCCCUCCCUUCCCUCCCCUUCCUCACACUGAGGCAAUGCCCAGCUGGCAGCACCCCACCCAGGCUGCACGGGCACUGAGUGUGACAGCAUCUGUCACCAUGGCAGGGAGCUGGCAAGCCUGAAUCACUGGCCUGGGCCAGGGUCCUCAGAGCCCAAGAGGCAGGAGAUGGGAGGGGGUGGAGGCUGGAGCAGGGACCCACCUCUCCUCCUUCGGUAUAUUUCAUAUCACAGAUGUUUCCCAGGAGUGUAAAACAGAAUUCACCUUUUCUGCUCCCACACCUGCCCCAUCUCAGUGAUGGUACCUCUUUCCACCUCUUGUGUCAGCCAGAAUCCAGGGGUCAUCUCCUCUGUCCCUCAGCUCCCACAGCUAGGCAAGCCCCAAGUCUCUCCACGCUGGACUCUGAAAUUGUUUGCUCAGGACACUAGUGAUCUUGGAUUAAUGCCCAUUUUAAUGACCUCAUUUUACCUUAAUUACUUUUAAAGGCCCUAUCCUCAAACACAGGCACUUUCUGAGACACUGAGAAUUCAGACUUCCACAUGUGAAUUUUGAGGGCACGCAACUCAGUCCCUAACAGACUCAAAUCCCCUACCUUCCCCGUGCUCACAGCCCCUGUCCUCACAGCCUGGCCUCAUCCUCGUGCUCUGACUCCCUCUGCUCACCCCUCCAGCCCACUCACCCCCUGCAGGCACCCUGAUCUGAUCGUGUCAUUCUCCUGGUGAAAACUUGAAAACUUGCCCUGUUGAAAAAUUGUGCUGGCCCCUACCUGCUUCUCCAGUCUCAGCUCAGUCUCACCACCCACCUGCCCAAUACCCAUCACCCCAAAAUCAGGAGCGAGUAAAUUUGCUAGCAAUUUAGCAAAGCCUACCCUACACAGGGGCUGGUCUAAGCUCUUCAGAUGGUUUAUCUGAGUUAAUCCUCAUCAACCCUAUGGUUGACGCUGUCAUUAUCUCUAUUUAAUAGAGGUAGGUGCUGUCAUUAUCUCUACUUAAUAGAUGAAGACACUGAGGCAUAUAAAAAGUCAAAAAUUUGCUGAAGAGCAUACAGCCAAGGUGUGUAAAGCAGGACUCAAACGAAGGCCGUCUGCCUACACAACCAUGCUCCUGACAUCUGCACUCAAUGUGUUAAGCUGUCUCAGCCUCUGCGCUCUGGCUCAGCUCUUCCUGCUGCCUGGAAUGUCUUUCCAUUCCUGCUCUGCCUCACAAACUUGUACGCAUGCUUCAAAACCCAUCUCAGCCUUCCCUUGGAUGAUAGCCUUUGUUCUAUGCUGUGCCUACUCACCAUAGAGCACCCACCAGUCAUAGUUUGAGGCAGUCGUUGGGGACAUGUCCAUCACCCUCAGGACAGGCACCAGAUCUGAUCCAUCUCUACAUUCCCCCCGCUAGGGGUGGGCCAAGCCCAGAGGCCAACACCAGUGAACGGAUGAGUGAAUGAACAAAGGAGUGAAUGAACAAAGGAGUGAAUGAAUGCCUCGUCACAUACAGAUCGUUAAUCUGGGCCUACCUUUGAGGAUAGAUUCCAAUUCUUUAUUAAAAGACCCAGAUAUCAGACUUCCCGUCAUGGCUCAGUGGUUAACGAACCCGACCAGUGUCCAUGAGGACAUGGGUUUGAUCCCUGGCCUUGCUCAGCGAGUUAAGGAUCUGGUGUUGCUGUGAGCUGUGGUGUAGGUCGCAGACUUGGCUCAGAUCCCACGUUGCUGUGGCUCUGGUGUAGGCUGGGAGCUGAGGCUCCAACUGGACCCCUAGCCUGGGAACUUCCAUAUGCCGCGGGUGCAGCCCUAAAAAGACAAAAAGACAAAAACAAAAACCAAACACACACACAAACAAAAAAGAGCCAGGUGUUUCAAAUGCCUCAAAUUUCUGCUUUUGGAGAAAAAGAAAGUAAAACACAAAUACAUGUAUAAUUUUCUCAUGGAAAUUUACCUUUUUUGCCCCAUUUUUAUUCCUGACCCCAGUACAGCUUUUGGGCCUUUGUAAAAAAUUUAUACUUGCUCUCCGAAGGCAGGAAGAGGUUAUCUAAAGCUCCAGGAGCUCGCCUCUGCUUCGAGAUCAGGAGAGAGAGAAAAUAACACAAGGGAAGGAGAAAGUCUUAGCGCCCCAUGGGUUCCUUCCACAUCCAAAGAGUUGCAAAUGAUGUUUUCUUUGUUUAAAAAAAUCAUAAUAAAGUAUUUGUUUUUAUAAAAAUGACCCAGCUCGUUGUAAGAUUGAAUAAGAUUUAACCCCCCCAGAAAAGGACAGAAAGGAAAAUUAAAUUACUCCAUAUCACACCUCCCAGCUGCUUACACCAGUGUAUCAUUUGCAGUCAUCAAGUUACGCCUAAGAUGUGAGCACUCUGCUGUGUGUGUUAUAUUUUAAUAAAAAUCUCACCGCCCAAAGAAGGCUCUUGAUAUCAUCUUCCAGACCUCACAUCUGCUUUUUGUAACAUCCUGACACUUGUGUCUAGCCAAUAACUCUUUCUUGAGUACCUACUCUGUGCCAGGCUCUGACUGGGUCCUGGGAUUAGAGGGUGGAGCUGCCUCUAACCGGCGGACUUUAACCAAAUAAUGACAUGCAUAACUAUUUAGCUACAACUGUAG
RNAcentral lists this long non-coding RNA (2967 nucleotides) under Sus scrofa (pig). RNAcentral's name for it is "lncRNA (ENSSSCG00050046167.1)". The record is from RNAcentral. Lineage: Eukaryota; Metazoa; Chordata; Mammalia; Artiodactyla; Suidae.